RNAcentral lists this transfer RNA (83 nucleotides) under Holosporales bacterium. Its description in RNAcentral is "tRNA-Tyr". It matches the Rfam family "tRNA". From Rfam's summary of the family: Transfer RNA (tRNA) molecules are approximately 80 nucleotides in length. Lineage: Bacteria; Pseudomonadati; Pseudomonadota; Alphaproteobacteria; Holosporales. The record is from RNAcentral.
GGAUGGGUGGCUGAGUGGUUAAAGGCAGCAGACUGUAAAUCUGCCGACGGUGGUCUACGGAGGUUCGAAUCCUCCCCCAUCCA